ACAGCAGUAGCCGCGGUAAUACGAAGGGUGCAAGCGUUACUCGGAAUUACUGGGCGUAAAGCGUGCGUAGGUGGUGGUUUAAGGCCGUUGUGAAAGCCCUGGGCUCAACCUGGGAAUUGCAGUGGAUACUGGAUCACUAGAGUGUGGUAGAGGAUAGUGGAAUUUCCGGUGUAGCAGUGAAAUGCGUAGAGAUCGGAAGGAACAUCUGUGGCGAAAGCGACUAUCUGGGCCAACACUGACGCUGAGGCACGAAAGCGUGGGGAUCAAACAGGAUUAGAUACCCCCGUAGUCCCUGUCUCUUAUAA
Molecule: ribosomal RNA, 305 nt
Filed under: uncultured bacterium
Lineage: Bacteria
Description: partial 16S ribosomal RNA
Rfam family: Bacterial small subunit ribosomal RNA
Source: RNAcentral